UGGGGAAUAUUGCACAAUGGGGGAAACCCUGAUGCAGCGACGCCGCGUGAACGAAGAAGGUAUUCGUAUCGUAAAGUUCUGUCCUAUGGGAAGAUAAUGACAGUACCAUAGAAGAAAGCUCCGGCUAAAUACGGGCCAGCAGCCGCGGUAAUACGUAUGGAGCGAGCGUUGACCGGAAUUAUUGGGCGUAAAGGGUACGCAGGCGGUUUAAUAAGUCGAAUGUUAAAGAUCGGGGCUCAACCCCGUAAAGCAUUGGAAACUGAUAAACUUGAGUAGUGGAGAGGAAAGUGGAAUUCCUAGUGUAGUGGUGAAAUACGUAGAUAGUAGGAGGAAUACCAGUAGCGAAGGCGACUUUCUGGACACAAACUGACGCUGAGGUACGAAAGCGUGGGGAGCAAACAGG
RNAcentral lists this ribosomal RNA (403 nucleotides) under bacterium. RNAcentral's name for it is "partial 16S ribosomal RNA". It matches the Rfam family "Bacterial small subunit ribosomal RNA", at positions 355 to 776 of the family's 1533-position model. The record is from RNAcentral.